UCCUACCUGCCGUGUGGAUGAAAAUCAGAAGUCCUUGGGAUGUGGAGCUAUUUAAAAAUAAAUGCGGCGUAUGUAACCAUAGCAAGCGAUUAUAUCAAUUCUAAAUGGACUUUGCCCUAAGAAAAAUAAAAAGCCCAGCUUUGGGGCUUUAUUUCAUUUAUGAGAACCCAAGUGAAUUGAGCGUGAUUGAAGGGCCCGUGUUUGGCUGGGCUCCUCCAUGUAAUGUGGGCUCAUUGCACUGGUUUGAGUGGACCCAGCUGUAAAACCAAGAGGGCCCUCUGGACACAAUCUCUUCCCAGAUGCUGAAAACACCUCCUCUUUGAGAAGCCGGAGGAAUAAUUCUGCCCCAACAAUAGGACAUUCUUCCUUCUUGAAGGUUUUAUUUUUCCAGGGAGUAGGAAUGGAGCAGGAGGUUACUCUCUACCGCCAGGCAAUGCCCCGAGCAGGGACAGAGUCCUAACCUAGUUAGGAGACUGGGAAUUUGAUCCGGCACCCGGAGAGAAAAUGGCCCUGUGUUUCUCAUUAGACACAGCACCCUUGUCCCUGUAGCACAGGUACCGUGUCCCGGUGUGCGUGUACACAGCGCAUGCGCCAGCACGGCCAGACCGGAUGGGGACAGGAACCCCUAAGGCUCUGGGAACCUGACUUUCUUUGUGUCACCGAGGGCAUCACACUUACAGAAUGCUUUCCCACACCUUCAGCCAACCGCGUUCAGCCUUCAGCCUAUGCCGUGGAGCUCGGCAGCUGGAAACCAUCUGUGUGGCCAUCACCCGCCUUUUCUUGCCUCUUCUUCGCACCGUGAUUUCCUGGCUGGGUUGGGCAGGACUCUGCUGGGGCAUCUGAAGGAUCUCCAAAGACGUUCCCCCAGGAGUGCACAGCAUCCCUCAUGGCGAUCCUUCCAUCCUUGGCAAUGUCAAGGACAACUACAGCUACAAUGACUGGUAUUGCUCAUGUGCUUGGAAGGCGUCAGACAGUGUUCUCACCAGGGUAGAACUAUGAUUCCUUUCAGCUUGCAUUCAGAACACUCUUAGAAGAUACCAUUCCUAAUGCCAUUUUCUGCUUAGAAAAUGGAAGCCCCAUGCAAGUAAAUCGUUUUCCUAAGGUCACAAAAAGCCUGAGUUUCAAACCCAAGCCUCCUCAUUCUAAAACCUAUGGCUCCUCGUCUUCAUGCUAUACUAUUAUCUACAAAAUUCCUUCUAAGAUUGCUGCUCUAGAGAAUCUAUUUUUCUAUAAUACCCACCUGUAGGCUGUAUUUGCAUAUUCUUGUAAGUUUAAGCCUCUUUCCCAUGACAGACCUUCAAAUAUUCAAUGGCGAACAUCACAUUCCCUUGCGUGGUCUGUUCUUGUGGUUCAGCAUCAUUGAUUUUUUUUUUCUGCCAGAUCAAAGAUUGCAAGAGACUGGGCAUUUUGAUCCUGAGUUCUGGUCCCCUGUUCUGUAACUAUCUUUACCGCAAAUUGAACUUGGAGUGGCAAAGGAACCAUGGGAUCCAUGGGAACCAUGUAUUUGAGUGAUCACGCCUCUCUGAAUAUCCUGGUAUCGGAUCCUUUCGUCUCUCUCUCCUGGCUCAGUUUAAGUCCAAUGCUUUCUAAAAGUCUGAAAUACCUGGCAGCUACAUUUUAAUUUGGCCUGUCUCUAUCAUUGUGUGUGACUCUCUCUGUUUAAGCGUUCUCAGCUGGUGGACACCCCUCUCCAGAUAAUGAUUUACCAUCAAAAUCAAACAACAAACUCAAUAACCCCCUUACCAUGGCCUUUGACCUUGGGGACCACAGGUCAUGCCAUCCCUCCCUGCUGUAGAGCAAUA
Molecule: long non-coding RNA, 1802 nt
Filed under: Oryctolagus cuniculus (rabbit)
Lineage: Eukaryota; Metazoa; Chordata; Mammalia; Lagomorpha; Leporidae
Description: lncRNA (ENSOCUG00000031166.1)
Source: RNAcentral